ACUCCUACAAACAUUUAACCACCAGCAAGGUGGUUAGAAAAUCAGGACUUUGGUUCUCUGGCACAGAGUUGGAAUUAUUAAAAUGGCAGCAUUUCAGAAGGCAGCAACACCUACAGUAUGACUAUUUUAUAACGAAGCCAUCAGCAGUACGGGAGUUCACGGCCUUACACUAGCGUGGACAAAGUCAAUAUGACCAUUGGGUUUCUGAGCAUGUCAGAAGUGCACUUCAUCCACACUCUUCCCACAAAAAUGACCCAGAAUUGUUUGUGAACCACACAAUACAUAUAUAUUAUGGAGAAAGUAGGAAGUGCUGUUAAAUGAAAAGAAGAAAAGGAAGCUCUUCUGUGAUUAUACCUUCUAGAGAGUACCGCUGUUAAUAUUUGGGCAUCUAUUCCCCCCGAAUUUGAAGAUGAUGGUAAUGAAGAUGAUGAAGGAUGAGAGCUUCAUGAGAUGGGGACUGUUCUAAACCCUGUCCUGUGGUUUUCCUGUGCCUAGAACAGAGCUAGCACAAGGU
Neofelis nebulosa (Clouded leopard) is the source of this 514-nucleotide long non-coding RNA. RefSeq lists it as uncharacterized. The transcript has 4 exons. Lineage: Eukaryota; Metazoa; Chordata; Mammalia; Carnivora; Felidae. The record is from RefSeq and is a predicted model, not a curated record.